UAUGAGAUUUUAAUAAAAUCA
This 21-nucleotide non-coding RNA is filed under the name Caenorhabditis elegans. Lineage: Eukaryota; Metazoa; Nematoda; Chromadorea; Rhabditida; Rhabditidae. The record is from RNAcentral.